CGGGAGGCACCGUGUGGUGGCUGUGCCAGGGCCCGGCGCGGCUCUGCAGGCCCCCAGAGCUCCUCGCAAUGCAGCUCCGUCCUGCAGAGCGGAGCCCGCGGUAUCCUCCUUGUCCUCGGCUGUCUCCCCUCGGUGGUGCGUGCCGUGAGUCACGAGGAGCCUGGUGCCGCUCCAAACGCGUGUCAGCCCCGGCCUAGUGAGAGGUUCAUAGCAGGCACAGGCAAAUGGGUGGAGUUGGUAGCUGUCUGAAGUAGCCAAGAUCUUCAGUUGAUAUCGUUAAUUAUCAUGUGAUGGUGCCAAAGUUUGCGAGGCUCCGUGCAGCACAGAACAAAAUGACAUAUUCCCUGCCCCAAGGAGUUUACAAUCUAAAGUGGAUCUGACAACACGAGGGUGUGACAGGACACCACGAGGCUGCAGCAACAGGAUCAUGCUGUUGAGGUCUCAACUUACUCCAGCACUACAGAUGAGAGAAAGCGACAGCUCCAGAGGCCUCUUGGGAUGGCAGGAUGGAUCUGACAAAGCAAGGUGUGACAGAAUGCCACAAGGUUGCAGCAACAGAAUCCUAGGAUCCAGUGACCAGAUAAAGAAUUGAAAUUGGUUUGCAGCUGAAGUGGUUUGAAGUAGGCGCUUGGCCAGUACAUAUCUCAGCCCUUUGCUUCUGAACAUAACGAACAAAAUCAGAAACCCCUGAACUGAACUCAGAUAACAUUCCAUCCUGCCGCAGUGGCAGAUAAAAAUGUGUGAGUUCGGAGUUUCCUGGCUCCAUAAUGAACAGCAAAAACUUGAAGUUUAAAUUCUUUAAGCUCUCCAAGGAUGAAGCAUGUGGAUGGAAUAAGACGGAACGGAAGAAAUAGACUCUUGUUUUAAUGGAAUUUCAAAGAAGUGGAGUAGAGGCUUCAAACAAUUCCAGAGGGCUAUGCCUUCCCUGCCAUUAUGGAAUGCUACCGGGAACACCCAGGAGAACAGCAUGAUUCCCAGGUCCACACGUAUCUUAUACACUUUGAUAUCUUGCAGGCAACAGGAACUUUGCAUAAGCACCUGCCAGUGUAAUUACAAUGUACUAAGGUGAGCUCAGGCAUCGGCUGUGCCACAUCCAUGUGAGACCAGUAUGUUGCCAUACUCUAGGCUGUGAUUCUGAUCAGAUGUCCAGACAGGGUAUGUGGGCUGCAGGAUGUCCUAGAAAUGCCCUUCACACCGUGGUGUAGCUGUAUCCUUUUGAUCUUUCUUAUAUUUCUAUGCACCUAGGUUGUAUUUGCUAACCUCAGGCAAGAUUCUGGCCUCAAAAACUUACGUAUCAUUUUCUCUGCAGUCAAAAGGAGUUCAGACAAAUAUACUGGGAGAGAAUUUAAAAAUAAGUGUUCAUUUCAUAAAGCUAACUUCCUGGCACAUAUUUGAAUUCUGGCUGAUAAUUGUAGCAUUUAUUUUGAUACUCUGCUGCUUCUAAGUCUGUGCACUCUGAUGAAGUCCUGACCACUUUAUAAAAAGCAAAGGGUGAGAUUAACAUUGCCAGUGGGAGGGUGUGAGCCACAGCCAUUUGAAAAAAAACUACCUGGCUCUUUUUAGCUAUGCUGCCUACUGAGAGCUGAUUACUAGGAAAGAGAGAGGUGGGAAUUGGCCACUUCUGUUAUGAGUGUCAAGGUUGUUGGAAGACUCGAGUAACAAGAGGUGCUGAAAAGUAUGGCAACCAAAUCCCCAUCUCCUGACACUAAGCUUGUCACUUCUGUGACAUUCUUGGCCUCUUCUAACCCAGUGUCUGGGAAUUUGAGACUUAAUCUUUGGUCAACCACAUGUUGGUGCAGAAUAUAGCUGCUGCAAAAUGAGACCAACCUACAAAUGGGGAAAAGAUCUAUUUUUAAAUGAAAAAUCCCAGCCUCCUCAUUCUUCCUUAGCACAGGCUUUUUUAGAACCAAAUUUCAGUUUUGUACUAACCACUUAAUACAGCCAUGGGCUGUGUCUUUCACUCCAGACAGGCAGGAAUGUUUGGUGUGUGUCCUGAUGGCUUGCAUGCCUCUGCUGAGAGCAUCUACUCAUCGUACACCAAGAUCCAGUUCAUAUUCUCAUUCUUAGCGUCAAGAAAAUUGUCUUUGCUUUAAAUAAUAGAUCAUACAGUAGUUUAAAUAUUAUCAUGGCAAUUGACACUUCAGCAGAGUAAGCAUGACUUUCAAAUUUGGUUAUUUAGUUUCAUAAGACCAUACUUCAGGGCCUGAAUAGGUGGUGAAUUCCUGGUAGCCCUGUAGUUCAUAUCAACUUCAUGUUUGUUCUGUGCUGCUGACAACUUAGACGUGGUGGAGGUCCCAAACACUCGCACAUUUGCCACUCAUCAUCUCUGCAGUUUCUGAUGGGACCACGUUCAGGGCAAUAGAAAUGCAUUAUUUCCACAGGCCGCUAAGAUCCCUUUGCUCGUGGGUGUCUGUACUGCUCUAAUUUACCUACUUUUCCUCAGUAAUGUUACUGGAUGCGAGGAUAUGAGGAGGUAGCUGUGCCAACGUAACAGUAGCUUUGCAUGCCAUAAUACCUGAUGCAUUUGUGGUGUUGCUUGGUAACAGGGCUGCAGACUUUGUAUUGUAUUGUAUUGUAUUUUAUUGUUAAUAAAGUUUAUCAUAACCUCA
RNAcentral lists this long non-coding RNA (2609 nucleotides) under Struthio camelus australis. Its description in RNAcentral is "lncRNA (ENSSCUG00000011225.1)". The record is from RNAcentral. Lineage: Eukaryota; Metazoa; Chordata; Aves; Struthioniformes; Struthionidae.